Molecule: RNA transcript, 1930 nt
Organism: Eptesicus fuscus (big brown bat)
Lineage: Eukaryota; Metazoa; Chordata; Mammalia; Chiroptera; Vespertilionidae
Gene: HNRNPDL
Gene name: heterogeneous nuclear ribonucleoprotein D like
Exons: 9
Source: RefSeq, a predicted model, not a curated record
CUGGAGCAGGCCGGUUGCGGAGCUCAUCGGUAGCAGCCGCCGCAGCAGUUCCGCGCGGGGGUGCCGAGGGCGGAGGAAGGCAGGGUGGACAGCUGUUGCUAGGAGUGGGCUGGACCGGACGCCAGAGACAAAGGCUCUCCAGGCAAGAGGGACUCGGCCCUGCGGCGGCGCUGCUCGGGAUUUGUGAACCCAGGAUUUCUCGCCCCUUCGUUUUUCUCUUCCGACGCUUCUCUCAUCCCGAGCCCGCGACCUCGCUCCUCACCGGAGGGCCGCGAUGGAGGUCCCGCCCCGGCUCUCCCAUGUGCCGCCGCCAUUGUUCCCCUCCGCGCCCGCUACUUUAGCCUCUCGCAGCCUCUCCCAUUGGCGGCCGCGGCCGCCGCGGCAGCUGGCGCCGCUGCUCCCUUCGCUCGCUGCCGGCACCGCCCGGCAGGGGGCGCGCCGGGGCCCGCGCCACGUCACCGCCCAGCAGCCCUCCCGAUUGGCGGGCGGGGCGGCUAUAAAGGGAGGGCGCAGGCGGCGCCCGGACCUCUUCCGCCGCCAUUUUAAAUCCGGCUCCAUACAACGCUCCGCCGCCGCUGCCGCGACUCGAACUGCGCGCCAGCACCCGCCGGCUGACAACGCCGCCGCCAUGGAGGACGUGAACGAGUACAGCAACACGGAGGAGUUCGCAGAGGGAUCCAAGAUCAACGCGAGCAAGAACCAGCAGGAUGACGGUAAAAUGUUUAUUGGAGGUUUGAGCUGGGAUACAAGCAAGAAAGAUCUGACUGAAUAUUUGUCUCGAUUUGGGGAAGUUGUAGACUGCACAAUUAAAACAGAUCCAGUCACUGGACGAUCAAGAGGAUUUGGAUUUGUGCUUUUCAAAGAUGCUGCUAGUGUUGAUAAGGUUUUGGAACUGAAGGAACACAAACUGGAUGGCAAAUUGAUAGAUCCCAAAAGGGCCAAAGCUUUAAAAGGGAAGGAACCCCCAAAAAAGGUUUUUGUGGGUGGCUUGAGCCCAGAUACUUCUGAAGAACAGAUUAAAGAAUAUUUUGGAGCCUUUGGAGAGAUUGAAAAUAUUGAACUUCCCAUGGAUACAAAAACAAAUGAAAGAAGAGGUUUUUGUUUCAUCACAUAUACAGAUGAGGAGCCAGUAAAGAAAUUGUUAGAAAGCAGAUACCAUCAAAUUGGUUCUGGGAAGUGUGAAAUCAAAGUUGCCCAACCCAAAGAGGUAUAUAGGCAGCAACAGCAACAACAAAAGGGAGGAAGAGGUGCUGCAGCUGGUGGAAGAGGUGGUACUAGGGGUCGAGGCCGAGGUCAGGGCCAAAACUGGAACCAAGGAUUUAAUAACUAUUAUGAUCAAGGAUAUGGAAAUUACAAUAGUGCCUAUGGUGGUGAUCAAAACUAUAGUGGCUAUGGCGGCUAUGACUAUACUGGGUAUAACUAUGGGAACUAUGGAUAUGGACAGGGAUAUGCAGACUACAGUGGCCAACAGAGCACUUACGGCAAGGCGUCUCGAGGGGGAGGCAAUCACCAAAACAAUUAUCAGCCAUACUAAAGGAGGACAUUGGAGAAAACAGCGGGAACUUCAUUGCAGGCCGUGUGUCACCCUGACCACGUCUAUCUCUGGGGGUCGCACGUUGCGGGCAGAGCGCAAGGCAUACACCAGAAAACGCUGUCCUGUGGAGGAGAUUGCUAAAGUAACCCAUCUGGCAGGACGACAUUGAAGAUUGAUUGGUCUUCUCUUGCUCUAAGAUGAUUAUUUUGUAAAAGACUUUCUAGUGUAUAAGACACAACCGUGUCCAACUGUAUAUAGCCGCCAAUUAGUUUUCUUUGGUUUUUACUUUGUCUUUUGCUAUCUGUGUUAUGAUUCAAUGUGGAUUUGUGUUUAUACAAAUUUUAUUUGUAUGAUUUCAUGUUAAACCUCAAAUAAAUGCUUCCUUAUGUGAUUGUU